This is a non-coding RNA of Podarcis lilfordi (Lilford's wall lizard), 84 nucleotides long. The record is from the annotation of a GenBank genome assembly. NCBI's taxonomy places the organism in Eukaryota, Metazoa, Chordata, Lepidosauria, Squamata, Lacertidae.
GGUGGGGGAGAAAUCAGCUCAGUUGGUGAGAGCGUGGUGCAGAUAACCCCAAGGUUGCGGGUUUGAACCCUGUACAGGCCACCU